CGGCGAGAAAACCAUCAGCUGCCGCGAGAUCGUGGGUGGGGGCGAAAGAGCUGACUUACUUUCCUUUAAUGACGGCCAGCCGACGAAAGAGGGUGGACGAUGGACGAGACGAGAUGUGUUCUUCCGGCUUCGAGAGACGAGUUCUCUGAAGAUCUUGCAUCAGGCUAUCUCCGACGGCACCACCAUCAAAACAGUUGAGUCCACCUUAUAGACCACCGUCAAAACAAAUGUCAAAUAAGCCGGAAGAACACAUCUCGUAUUCGUACAUCGUCCACCCGGAGUUCUUCUGCCGGUAGUUGUUGAAGGAAAGGCUGCUCUUUCACCUCACCACCAUCUCGCGCCCGGCGACGGUUUUGUUGACUAGUUCUUGCUUUUUGUCCAGAGUCUAAGAACCGGUGCCGGCCUUUCGAUCCACGCGCGAGCCGUCCGCAAAGAAGUAUCCCUCCUGCCGAUCGCUGCCAAGAAGAUUCCACGGCUCGCUCGGUCCUGUAGACGUCAGCGAAUGCGACAGCGUGGACAGGGAAGGGUGUGCCGAUGACCUAGUUGGCGAGGAGAAGGGAGCAGAGAGGCGAGGGGCGAGAAGACAAAGUGCCUUCAUCUUCCUUGAACCCCAUCGCCCCGUUCGGUCUUGCUCGACUCAGAAACAAAGGUGAGCAUUUUUGGUUCGGCCUCUUGUGUCAGCGAAAUGCAUGAAUUUUACGGCUGAUUUGGAGCUUUACUUGAUGUUGCCUCUUCGCCGCUGCAAUCACCGCCAUUAGCCGCCGCAAUACUGCCUCUUCACCGCUUCACCGCCAUCAUGCUGCUGCUUCCCUUCACGCUACAUAUCAUGUGUCGGUGCACCACUACAGGGCAGCAUGUGCUGUGCCACCGAUCGGUCGACAAACCGGCUCGGACUAGUAAGUCAAACCUUGGUAUACAUUUGAUAUAUUUCAAGAUUUAUGACUUUGGGAAGACCUCACCAAAGAAUUAACCCCACAUCUCAUCACUUGUAAUGUCACAUUUUCAAACACAUCAGAUGUUUGAAAUGCCUUGUAUCGGUUUAUAAGGAUUAUAUGAGUCUACUAUAAAUAACUUGAGUUUAAGUAUCAACGUUGGUUUAUAAGGAUUCAGAUGAUUUUACUACAGUGGAUCCAUCAAGUUAAUAAGACAAUUAGCCCAUUGAGUUAGUCAUGAUAAAUGGCACUAAAAAAUUAUCUAAAAAAUGUUAAUUUCUGUUUUGAAGACCCUAAUGGUUCUAAAAGAUAAGAUAUGAGUAGCAUAAGUGUUGAUUAAAGUAAUCAGAUUCUUCCAUGCAGCAGACUGGAUUGAUGCAGAAUGAUCUCUGAGAAAGGUUAAUUUGACAUCCAUGAAACUUCUUAUUUAUGUUCUUUUGACUAUCACCUCUAACCACAAUGAAAUAUAAUUUUAUGGAAGUUUCUCUAAAUAAAGAUUCUGAAACACUUUCAAACUUGAAAUUUUGAUUACAGCUUCACAGCAGAUACUUCAAGUGUGUUUAAAGACAGCAAAUACUUCAAGCUGGAGCAGAGUGAUAUCAGCAGAGAAAUAGGAUGGCUGGAUCCAAGCAGCACUCAUCAACAAGAAAUCAGCAGCAGAAUAGGGCGGCAAGGCUGCGAAACAAAACAUUCUUGUUAGUGGAGAAGUCAUCAAAAAACCGUAGUUCCUUUGACUAUCCUUACUGUUCCAUCGACUACCCUUACUGCUCCAUUGACUACUAAGCUGCAUAAGUCUGUUAGCAAUACUAACUCUGCUUAUUUAGAUCGUGUUACUGAAAAGAAGCUCUUGGGGAAGUACUAAAUGGUGAUCGGGUCGAUGCUCCAUAUGAGUUCAAUUUUCUGGAGGAAAAGCAGUUAAAGUCUCUUUGUGAGAAAAACUUAUCAAAGGAAGAUGUUGCAAAGUUCAGACAUGCUGUAUCAAGGGACUACUACUUUGAAAUGUAUUAUGAUGAUAUGCCUCCAUGGUGAUUCUUGGGCAAGACUUAAGAGGGACAAGACUGAUUCAGGCAAAGACAAUCACUUGUUCUUUAAACACAUCCACUUGAAUAUUCUUUACAAUGAUGAUAGGGUUAUAUAGAUCAAUGUCCAACAUUAUUGUGGAUAUCUUGGAGGAUAAGGAAUUGGAUGUAGAGUUUUUAUAUUCUGUUACAUGGAAAAAGAUUGACAUAUCUUUUGAAGAAAGGAUAUUGACCAUCUGCUUUCUGCUUGAUUGCCUGAUAGCGUAUUGGACGAUUACGAAGAUGGUGAUAUCUGCAUUGCAUUUGGCGAAGUGCUUCGCAGUGCCAUAUCUUCAGGACGUCGUGUGGUUUGCCAUGUCAGUUUCUCGUUCUGCUUCCACAUUUACGAAGUCCGCCUCUUGCUUUGACUACAAUCUUUUUACUCAUCUUCUUGGAUUUGUUAGAAAUUUUAGCUACAUUAGUCUAUCUUUGAAGCAGAUCAUUCAUAAAAUUUAAAAGGUCAAGUGCCCAGUUUUUGUAAUUCAUGUAAGUGCUUUGUUUUAAAUAUAUGCGUUUUGUCCUGCAAACAA
Musa acuminata AAA Group (dessert banana) is the source of this 2520-nucleotide long non-coding RNA. RefSeq lists it as uncharacterized. NCBI's taxonomy places the organism in Eukaryota, Viridiplantae, Streptophyta, Magnoliopsida, Zingiberales, Musaceae. The record is from RefSeq and is a predicted model, not a curated record. The transcript is spliced from 2 exons.